Molecule: ribosomal RNA, 497 nt
Filed under: uncultured bacterium
Lineage: Bacteria
Description: partial 16S ribosomal RNA
Rfam family: Bacterial small subunit ribosomal RNA
Source: RNAcentral
GAUGAACGCUGGCGGCGUGCCUAAUACAUGCAAGUCGAGCGAACGGACGAGAAGCUUGCUUUUCUGAUGUUAGCGGCGGACGGGUGAGUAACACGUGGAUAACCUACCUAUAAGACUGGGAUAACUUCGGGAAACCGGGGCUAAUACCGGAUAAUAUUUUGAACCGCAUGGUUCAAAAGUGAAAGACGGUCUUGCUGUCACUUAUAGAUGGAUCCGCGCUGCAUUAGCUAGUUGGUAAGGUAACGGCUUACCAAGGCAACGAUGCAUAGCCGACCUGAGAGGGUGAUCGGCCACACGGUAACUGAGACUCGGUCCCGACUCCGACGGGAGGCAGCAGUAGGGAAUCUUCCGCGAUGGGCGAAAGCCUGACGGAGCAACGCCGCGUGAGUGAUGAAGGUCUUCUGAUCGGAAAACUCUGUAAGUAGGGAAGAACAUAUGUGUAAGUAACUGUGCACAUCUUGACGGUACCUAAUCAGAAAGCCACGGCUAACUACGUG